UUGUGAACUCCAAGCUCAGCCACCUACUCAUUAACGUGGUGGUUUGAAUGAAAAUCGCCCCACAGGGACAGGCACUAUUAGGAGACACAGCUUGGUUAGACUAGGUGUGGCCUUCCCAUAGGAAGUGCGUCACUUGGGGUGGGCUUUGAGGUUUCAGAUGCUCAAGUCAGACCCAAAGGCUCACUCUCUCAUCCUACUGCCUUCAGGUUUGGAUAUGGAACUCUCAGCUCCUCUCCAGCACCGUGUCUCUCCAUUAUGAUGACAAUGGACUAACCUUUGAACUGCCGGCCUCAGGGCAGCACUGGGGGCUCUGUGUCACGCUGGAGGUGUAGCUCCAUGGUCUGAAGAUUGGUAUUGGCUUAUUUCUGAAGUAGAGUCUGGUACAGCAUGGAGAACUGAAGGAGAGAAUGAAAUAAAACAAUAACAAAAACAAUCUGAGGUCAAAGAAAGGGAACCAGAAGUCUCAAGCCUCCAGCAACGUCCUGGCCUCCCGCGGCCAUUUGUUUAUCUCCCCAGCAGCCCCAGGAGUUAAGGAAGCUGGGUUCAACGACUCGCUGAAGGGGUAAACUAGACUCUGCUCUUUCCACUGGAGAUGCCAGGACUAGGGUGGAAUUCACAUGCACUGUUGAGAGAGGAUGUUCAUGUGUCAUAACAAGCAUGAUGAAUUCCAAAGCCUUGUGGGGUCUCGUACCUUUGGCAUUGUGUCCACUUGAUGAGAGGAUCAACAUCCGCCUCACUCACACGGGCUGAUUGGCAAGAAACUUUGACUUUGGUCAAAAAGACUUUUGGUCUGUGAACUAUAAAACCAUGGGUUGUGGCUAAUAAAGACUUUUAAAAAAUA
Mastomys coucha (southern multimammate mouse) is the source of this 841-nucleotide long non-coding RNA. RefSeq lists it as uncharacterized. Lineage: Eukaryota; Metazoa; Chordata; Mammalia; Rodentia; Muridae. The transcript is spliced from 4 exons. The record is from RefSeq and is a predicted model, not a curated record.